RNAcentral lists this ribosomal RNA (376 nucleotides) under uncultured organism. RNAcentral describes it as "partial 16S ribosomal RNA". It matches the Rfam family "Bacterial small subunit ribosomal RNA", at positions 527 to 896 of the family's 1533-position model. The record is from RNAcentral.
AGAGGUGGCAAGCGUUGUUCGGAAUUACUGGGCGUAAAGGGCGCGCAGGCGGCUCGUCAAGUCCCGUGUGAAAUCCCCCGGCUCAACUGGGGAACUGCGCGGGAAACUAGCGAGCUUGAGUUCGGGAGAGGAAAGCGGAAUUCCGGGUGUAGCGGUGAAAUGCGCAGAUAUCCGGAGGAACACCAGUGGCGAAGGCGGCUUUCUGGACCGACACUGACGCUGAGGCGCGAAAGCUAGGGGAGCGAACGGGGAUUAGAUACCCCGGUAGUCCUAGCCCUAAACGUUGAGCACUGGGUGUAGGGGGUAUGAACCCCCCCCCCCUGUGCCGAAGCUAACGCAUUAAGUGCUCCGCCUGGGGAGUACGGUCGCAAGGCUG